GACGAACGCUGGCGGCGUGCCUAAUACAUGCAAGUUGAGCGCUGAAGGUUGGUACUUGUACCAACUGGAUGAGCAGCGAACGGGUGAGUAACGCGUGGGGAAUCUGCCUUUGAGCGGGGGACAACAUUUGGAAACGAAUGCUAAUACCGCAUAAAAACUUUAAACACAAGUUUUAAGUUUGAAAGAUGCAAUUGCAUCACUCAAAGAUGAUCCCGCGUUGUAUUAGCUAGUUGGUGAGGUAAAGGCUCACCAAGGCGAUGAUACAUAGCCGACCUGAGAGGGUGAUCGGCCACAUUGGGACUGAGACACGGCCCAAACUCCUACGGGAGGCAGCAGUAGGGAAUCUUCGGCAAUGGACGAAAGUCUGACCGAGCAACGCCGCGUGAGUGAAGAAGGUUUUCGGAUCGUAAAACUCUGUUGGUAGAGAAGAGCGUUGGUGAGAGUGGAAAGCUCAUCAAGUGACGGUAACUACCCAGAAAGGGACGGCUAACUACG
RNAcentral lists this ribosomal RNA (495 nucleotides) under uncultured bacterium. Its description in RNAcentral is "partial 16S ribosomal RNA". It matches the Rfam family "Bacterial small subunit ribosomal RNA", at positions 28 to 505 of the family's 1533-position model. The record is from RNAcentral.